ACAAGGCCAAAGGAGAGGAGGGAGAGAAAGACAAGGAGUGUGAGAAGGAAAAAGAAAUAGUAGAGGAAGAGGCCAAGCCGGAAGACGCAGGUGCGGCAGAAACAGAGGUAAAGGAGGAAGGAGAAAAAGAGGAAGAGAAACAGGAGGAGAAUGUGGUGGAGGAGGAGGAGGAGGAGGAGGGGAAGAAGCAGAAAGCAUCUCGCCGCCCCAGGAUACUGCACUGCAAAGUCAAGCUGCUGGAUGAUACUCUGUUCGAGUGUGAGCUGGAAAAGCAUGCCAAAGGCCAGGAGCUGUUUGCAAAAGUGUGUGACCACCUGAACCUGUUAGAGAAGGACUAUUACGGUCUGGCCAUAUGGGAGACGACAACCAUAAAGACAUGGCUGGAGUUCACCAAGGAGAUCAGACGGCAAGUACAAGG
Molecule: long non-coding RNA, 418 nt
Organism: Sinocyclocheilus rhinocerous
Lineage: Eukaryota; Metazoa; Chordata; Actinopteri; Cypriniformes; Cyprinidae
Exons: 3
Source: RefSeq, a predicted model, not a curated record